CAGUCGAACGGCAGCACAGGAGAGCUUGCUCUCUGGGUGGCGAGUGGCGGACGGGUGAGGAAUACAUCGGAAUCUACCUUUUCGUGGGGGAUAACGUAGGGAAACUUACGCUAAUACCGCCUAUGACCUUCGGGUGAAAGCCGGGGACCUUCGGGCCUGGCGCGGAUAGAUGAGCCGAUGUCGGAUUAGCUUGUUGGCGGGGUAAAAGCCCACCAAGGCGACGAUCCGUAGCUGGUCUGAGAGGAUGAUCAGCCACACUGGAACUGAGACACGGUCCAGACUCCUACGGGAGGCAGCAGUGGGGAAUAUUGGACAAUGGGCGCAAGCCUGAUCCAGCCAUACCGCGUGGGUGAAGAAGGCCUUCGGGUUGUAAAGCCCUUUUGUUGGGAAAGAAAUCCUGCCGGUUAAUAACCAGCAGGGAUGACGGUACCCAAAGAAUAAGCACCGGCUAACUUCGUGCCAGCAGCCGCG
This 471-nucleotide ribosomal RNA is filed under the name uncultured soil bacterium. RNAcentral's name for it is "bacterial SSU rRNA". It matches the Rfam family "Bacterial small subunit ribosomal RNA", at positions 59 to 519 of the family's 1533-position model. The record is from RNAcentral.